UCAAACUUGGUCAUUUAGAGGAAGUAAAAGUCGUAACAAGGUUUCCGUAGGUGAACCUGCGGAAGGAUCAUUACUGAAUUAAUGAAAGGUUGUAGCUGGCUCCUUGGAGUAUGUGCACGCCUUUCAAAUUCAUCUUAACCACCUGUGCACUUUUGUAGGCUGCGAUAACUCUCAGUGGGUAAAAGCACUGGAUCGAGAGACUUGCGAUUGAGCUGUCUUUCAAUUUCGUAGUCUAUGUUUUAUCUUACACACUAAAGUCAUUGAAUGUUAUUGUAUAUGGGUCUUCAUUGACCUAUAAAACUAUAUACAACUUUCAACAACGGAUCUCUUGGCUCUCGCAUCGAUGAAGAACGCAGC
RNAcentral lists this unclassified non-coding RNA (357 nucleotides) under uncultured fungus. Its description in RNAcentral is "partial contains small subunit ribosomal RNA, internal transcribed spacer 1, and 5.8S ribosomal RNA". The stretch from base 1 to 73 matches the Rfam family "Eukaryotic small subunit ribosomal RNA", at positions 1759 to 1831 of the family's 1831-position model. The record is from RNAcentral. Lineage: Eukaryota; Fungi.